This is a non-coding RNA of Ailuropoda melanoleuca (giant panda), 46 nucleotides long. NCBI's taxonomy places the organism in Eukaryota, Metazoa, Chordata, Mammalia, Carnivora, Ursidae. The record is from Rfam.
CCAAAGGCCCUUUUCAGGGCCACCUAUCCACUCUUACGAAGAGCUG